RNAcentral lists this ribosomal RNA (766 nucleotides) under Staphylococcus aureus. RNAcentral's name for it is "bacterial SSU rRNA". It matches the Rfam family "Bacterial small subunit ribosomal RNA", at positions 28 to 776 of the family's 1533-position model. Lineage: Bacteria; Bacillati; Bacillota; Bacilli; Caryophanales; Staphylococcaceae. The record is from RNAcentral.
GAUGAACGCUGGCGGCGUGCCUAAUACAUGCAAGUCGAGCGAACGGACGAGAAGCUUGCUUCUCUGAUGUUAGCGGCGGACGGGUGAGUAACACGUGGAUAACCUACCUAUAAGACUGGGAUAACUUCGGGAAACCGGAGCUAAUACCGGAUAAUAUUUUGAACCGCAUGGUUCAAAAGUGAAAGACGGUCUUGCUGUCACUUAUAGAUGGAUCCGCGCUGCAUUAGCUAGUUGGUAAGGUAACGGCUUACCAAGGCAACGAUGCAUAGCCGACCUGAGAGGGUGAUCGGCCACACUGGAACUGAGACACGGUCCAGACUCCUACGGGAGGCAGCAGUAGGGAAUCUUCCGCAAUGGGCGAAAGCCUGACGGAGCAACGCCGCGUGAGUGAUGAAGGUCUUCGGAUCGUAAAACUCUGUUAUUAGGGAAGAACAUAUGUGUAAGUAACUGUGCACAUCUUGACGGUACCUAAUCAGAAAGCCACGGCUAACUACGUGCCAGCAGCCGCGGUAAUACGUAGGUGGCAAGCGUUAUCCGGAAUUAUUGGGCGUAAAGCGCGCGUAGGCGGUUUUUUAAGUCUGAUGUGAAAGCCCACGGCUCAACCGUGGAGGGUCAUUGGAAACUGGAAAACUUGAGUGCAGAAGAGGAAAGUGGAAUUCCAUGUGUAGCGGUGAAAUGCGCAGAGAUAUGGAGGAACACCAGUGGCGAAGGCGACUUUCUGGUCUGUAACUGGCGCUGAUGUGCGAAAGCGUGGGGAUCAAACAGG